RNAcentral lists this ribosomal RNA (442 nucleotides) under uncultured bacterium. RNAcentral describes it as "SSU rRNA". It matches the Rfam family "Bacterial small subunit ribosomal RNA", at positions 26 to 518 of the family's 1533-position model. The record is from RNAcentral.
AGAAUGAACGCUAGCGAUAUGCUUAACACAUGCAAGUUGAACGUUGUUUUCGUAAUAAAAAUAGAAACAAAGUAGGCGAACGGGUGGCGUAACACGUAGGAAUCUGCCAAACAGUUUGGGCCAAAUCCUGAAUAGAAUAAAAAGCUAAAAAGACGCUGUUUGAUGAGCCCACGUAGUAUUAGGUAGUUGGUUAGGUAAAAGCUGACCAAGCCUACGAUGCUUAGCUGGUCUUUUCGGAUGAUCAGCCACACUGGGACUGAGACACGGCCCAGACUCCUACGGGAGGCAGCAGUGGGGAAUCUUGGACAAUGGGCGAAAGCCUGAUCCGGCAAUAUGGCGUGAGUGAAGAAGGGCAACGCAGCUUGUAAAGCUCUUUCAUCGAGUGUGCGAUUGUGACAAGACUCGAAUAAGAAGCCCCGGCUAACUCCGUGCCAGCAGCCGC